UGGGUGUGUGAGAGCUUCCAAAGGUUCCAGUGCUAGACAAAUUUAUGCUUAUGUGGUGUGUCUCAAGGCAAUACUGGAAGUCUCCUGUAUCUACAUGCACUGUAUGGACUGCAUGUGAAGAGCUUGUCAGUACAGAUUUCCUGACAGCAGGACAGCUCAUCUCUGGCUCAAACUCCCCUCAAAUACCAGAUGAAAGUCAGAACUAAGUGGAAGCACUGCAUUAGGAAGCAGGAGAUGAAUA
Molecule: long non-coding RNA, 241 nt
Organism: Empidonax traillii (willow flycatcher)
Lineage: Eukaryota; Metazoa; Chordata; Aves; Passeriformes; Tyrannidae
Exons: 3
Source: RefSeq, a predicted model, not a curated record